AGGGUUAUAGUUUAAUUAAAAUAUUUAGUUUGCAACUAAAAGAUACCUUAGUUACCCCUA
Molecule: transfer RNA, 60 nt
Filed under: Pseudoniphargus mateusorum
Lineage: Eukaryota; Metazoa; Arthropoda; Malacostraca; Amphipoda; Allocrangonyctidae
Description: tRNA-Ala
Source: RNAcentral